GUUGAUCUUAGUUGAUCAAACUGUUCAGACCCGACCCAAGUUUAAUAUUUAUGUGUCCAAAUGACUAACCUAAAACCCUCUCGUCGCCUCUCAUCUCUCCACCCUCAGAGAACUCAAACGCUAACCCUAACGACGCCCUAAAAUCCCCUCCCCUCCGACGGCGUCGCCGCCACAAAAUGAUCCCAAACUAACACCCUACAACCCCCAUGAUCACCUCAUACCAAAUCCGCAACUAUUUGCCCUUCGAAUCUUCCCAGAGCCUCUCAAAUCUUGAAUACAAAUUCGAGCCCUAAAAGUUCAAAACCAAAUGUCGAAUACGCAUGGACAUGCAUGGGUCUCCAAAAUGAUUUGCUAGAAACGGUGCCCCUUGCUUGUUCUCAAAGGGGAACAUUCAUGUGAUACCGCUUCUCAUUUUUUUUAAUCGAAGAAGAUGGAUCUAGCCGGACAACCGGAUAGCCAUGGCAGUAGGUAUUUGAUUCUUUGUUCCUUUCUUCUAUCUUCUCACUGUCCUCUUUCGUCAUCUUCUUCUACUCUUUUUGCUUCUCUUUUGAUGAAAAAUGAAUUGGUUUAGUUAGUGUUAGUUUACUCUGUUAUUUUAGGCUUGAAUUCAGGGGUUUGCCAGUAGAAAAUUAGUUUUUCAAUUUUUUUAGGGCAACAGGGAAGUAUUUCUGAUUUAAAUUGAUUUCCUAGUGCCAUGUUUGAUUUAAUUUCUUCAAAGACUGAACUAGGUUCAUUUAUCGGCUGCUGCUUUAGUUAAUUGCGGUAUCGAUUAUCUAAGUGCAUUUGCUUACAAAUUACUGCUUCUGAGUAUCUCUUUGAAGUUCAAUUUUUUUCAUCUAUGGGUUUAUUGGUUUAAACUUCCGAUUGGUUUCCUUCCUUUGGGUUCAAGACUCAAUUUGGGCUGAUUGGUUUGGGUUAAGUCUUGGGCUGUUUCAACCCAUAUUCUGUCUAGGUUCUUAAGGUAAAAUCAUGUAACAGGAAGUUUAGGAACUCUAGGUAGAGGAAUCUUUAUAGCAGCCUAAGGAAACUUCUAGGAAGUUAGGUGUUGGGACGAAUGUGGAAAGUUAAUUUUUAAACUAAGGUUUCUAAGUUAAAUUGAAAAGAACAAAAGGUGCAACAUGCAAAUAUGAUUUCAUUGAAGUUGCACUAAUGCCUUGCCUAUAAAGGCACCUUUACUUGACAUUUAAGGCAGAAUAAAAGAGAUAAAAUCAGACUGAAAAAAAUCAGAAAUGGCUGAAAGGUUUUAAGUGAUAUUCUUUACAUCUAAAGCACUGAAAAACACACACAGAGAUAGAAUUUCAGAAUCAGAAAAACACCAAAAAGGGAAAAAUUCUAGCAUUGAUUCAUUGGUUAGUUUUUUUCAUCUUUCUGGUUUUAAGUCUUGAACAUCUGCUGGAAUAAUGGGAUUUGAGUAUAGAUUAAAAGAGGCUGUAGUUGUUGGUAGCUUGUUACUUUGCCCUCUAUUGUUGGCAUAUUUGUUUUCAAGAUUUUGAAGCAAUUUUUAGGCAUUAAGGUACACAUCGUGACCCUAUGUCAAAACUCUUGUAGUCUUGACUUUACAUAAAUGUUAAAGAUAUUGUGUGAACAAGAGAAUAUACAUCUAUGCUGAUUCUUGUCUCAUAUGGUGGAAACAUGCUUCUCUUGUGCUUCAAAUAUAUUAGUUGAUAUCUGUUGGGCUUGGUUUCUAUGUGUACUAUUUUGCUUCUUCACGCUUAAUAUUUGCUUCAUAUUUUGAGUUGUGUGUGUUAACUAGGGGUUAAUCUAUUGCAGUAGGACUCUUGAUGGACUUGAUCUUGAUAUGAUCAGAUUCAUGAGAGUUGAAAGCUAAGUUGAUAUCACUCCUGUAUGGGGAAGAGCUUGCAACAUUAUCAAGGAUCACAAUCUGAUAUAUAUUUGGUUCUCUCAGUAGUUUAGAUUUAUUAUGUUUGUUGUUUUAUAAGUUAGGGUUGGUUAAUCUUCAUUUCCUAGCUGAUUACUUGUCAAGUAACUCAAAAUGUUGUUAAAUAGUAUUGAGUUUACAUGGAGUUAAUGUUGUGAAUGAAUGAAUCAUGAGGAUCAAGGGUGAAUGCCUCAGUCAGUUUCAUUUUGACGCUCAAACCUGCUGAAACAAGCUUCAUAAUCAAUUAUGUGAUGUAGGGUUUUAGAAUUUUGGAUUCAUGCUAUUUUUUCAUGAUUGGUGGCUUAAUGUAGCUUUUGAGUUUUGAUAUGUGCAUAAGUGCAAGUGUUAGUGAAAUAUAUGCCUUCCUGUAGCAGAGACCUAGGUUUGCUUCAUUAUUAUUCCUUCGAUCUAGCUUAAAAUUGUUUUAGGUUUAGUUUGGCCCUCAGAUUCUGAGCUUUGUAUCACAAUCUUUUAGCACAAUUUUUUGAAUUCGAGUGGGCCAUUUUUGUUUUUUUGAAGAACUAUGAUUCAAAUAAUGAAUUGAUGGUUUGACAAGUUACAAAUCUAGCUAAGCUAUGUAAGUUUGUUUCGCUGUUGUUGGCGAGGUUAUGAUUGGGAUUCGAACUUCACGUUACAUGUUUAUGAUUUAGCUUAUUUGAAAUUGAGACAUGAAUUCU
Molecule: long non-coding RNA, 2556 nt
Filed under: Nicotiana benthamiana
Lineage: Eukaryota; Viridiplantae; Streptophyta; Magnoliopsida; Solanales; Solanaceae
Description: long non-coding RNA (NBEN_LNC025067)
Source: RNAcentral